RNAcentral lists this long non-coding RNA (40927 nucleotides) under Triticum aestivum (bread wheat). Its description in RNAcentral is "long non-coding RNA (TAES_LNC028293)". The record is from RNAcentral. Lineage: Eukaryota; Viridiplantae; Streptophyta; Magnoliopsida; Poales; Poaceae.
UUUUUUUUUGCCUAGUAUAGUCUAAAAAAAACUCGGCAAAGGUCUUGUUUGCCGAGUUCCGAAUUAAAAAAAACUCAGUAACAGUUGGAUAUAGGAGAACGUGGCGUUUUCCGGUAGUGACGACGGCUUUAGUUCACUAUUUGUGGGCAGUUUGUGGAGAUAAUCUGAUUCAAAUUCUAUUUUUAUCCAUACAGCUAUCUGGAUCAAACCGACAUAAGCAAUUAGGAACACCUACUAAAAAGGCAAACGACAAGACUCGCUGGUAUUCUUUUGUUUCUUCGAAGUAUUGAGAGCUACGGCCAGAGUUUACUCAAGAUAACAUACAAAUAUGAGAUCACAUGAUAUAGCAUAAAUCCAUCUGAAUUGAAUGAGAGGGUAAUUCCAGGAGAUGUAUAACUGGGAACAUUUUGUGUAGGCGUCCUUGUGCUCCCUUCAUUCCAGAUCAAUAUCCAUUAUUGAUAUUCCAUGACUACAUCCUAUGACAAGCCUACACAAUUUAAACGCUCUGGUUAAUUUUUUAGAAGGUGUCGAAACUUCAGUAUAGCCAAAAGCUAGCAGGUCAACUAAUAUUGAUUUGUUCCUUCUCCAUAAUUUACUGAAGUCCCUUUCACAAUUCUACAUAUCUAAAUUCAAUCUGUUUAGGAACUAUUUUGAUACCAAAAGAAUUUGCCAAAAAAAUCUGGGUUAAAGGAUUUUUUUUUCAUCCAGAACUUUGGAGAAGAUAGUACAUAUAUAUCUAAUUAAGCCAAAGUUAGUUUUUACUUGUACAUUGAACUUGUUAUUUCAAACAAAGAAACAGUGUAGUUAACAAGACAAAAUCUUAACAAGAAAAUUCAUUACCUUCCGGAGUCUGUAAAUCCAACAUGUCUAGGGUCCUUUCGAAAAUGCAUGUAGGUCUUCUUAAGCCUGUUAGGGGCAGAAGCCCAUAGUUAGUUGCAUCUUCAAACAUAAUAUAAACCAUAUCAUUCUGUCAAAAAUAUAAUAUAAACCAUAUCAUAUGAUGUAGGCAUAUGUAUGCGAGUGUGUACACACAUUUGGAGGUUGGUUGUACCAAACUCUCUAAAAAUACGUACCCUAUCCUCGGUAGAUAACGUGACAAAAUUAUAAGAUUAUGAAUACAUUCUCACAGUAAGGUUGUAAGGAAGAACAAUAUUUUUUUCAUGAAGAUAGGGCAGAAAAGCAAUUAGUAUAUGAGAAAAUUCAUUUAGUUGUACUUUUCAGGCUUGUAAAUGUUCCGUUGCACGGUAAAAAUAAUUUUGGGUCAAAAUUUGAUGUCUUGAUUAAUUGCAGUAUCAAGGCCAAUCAAACCAAAUGCAAAUCAUGCAUUAUUCAAAAUUGAGUAGUACUCCCUCCAUCCCAAAAUAAGUGUCUCAACUUUAUACUAACUCUAGUACAAAGUUGUACUAAGGUUGAGACACUUAUUUUGGGACGGAGGGAGUAUGUAGUACCAGAAAGUGGACUGGACUGAACCCAUCGACUGCAUGCAUGUUGGCAAUGGAAAGACAACUCGAUCACUCUUGUUUGAAAAAAUAAAAAACAGAUGUGGUACAUACCUGUACGUAUUGCAGUCCCAGACACGAAUACUACCGUCACUUGAAAUGGUGAUUAACACCGGUUGUGUUGGGUGGCAAACGGUAGCAAUUAUGUGUUCUGUGGUUUCUGCAAUCUGGAGUGUGUGGACAUGUUCUUGUUUCAGCAUAUCCCAUAUCUGAUUCAAAACAACAAAUAGGAAAAGACAUACAUAUGGAGAUUAUAGUCGCAUAUACAUAGAUGUAUGCAUAUGGAUUAAUAUUAUGAUAUUGAAUUCAGAACGCGAUGCCCUCACUAAUGCAGCCUCGCCGUCAAUAGCAGCAAUGAAAUGCCGAUCACCAGCGUAUGUGAAAAGUUGGCUAGUCUCGUAGUCUUCUACUCCUUUUGUUGUGGCAAUGGGAUCGGGAUGACCAAUUCUCCACGCCUACACAUUUCAAGAACAUAGAUAAAAAUCUUAUUUAUUAUCCCCAGUAGAGCAGCAACCUCACUGACAAGUAGCACUUCACUAAAGGAUCAAGAUCAAGAUGGCACAAAGAAUAACCACCCUCUUUAACUGGGCCAAGUCAAACGGACAUUGGGGAUGCAAUUCUCCACUACUACACAUAGGAAUGCUAAUGGAAUAGGAACAGGUUGAUAAGCAAAGACAAACCUUGACUUCCCCAUCCUUGUCAAGGGCAGCGAAAAUGCUACUAUCCUUGGGGUUAAACAUGACUUGUGUCACGGGUAUAGAGAUGUCAAAUAUUCCGGUACAAGACCAAUUGCGGUUCCAGUCCCAAAGCUUCAUCGACGGGGGAUAACCACAGGUCAGCAGGAACGGACGAGUUGAGUGAACAGCCAAUAAAGUGACACCUAAACGGUGAGCUCUGAAUUCCUUGACUAGGUCCAUUGUGGGAUACAUUCGCACAUCGACGAACCCAUUUGGGAGCCCCAUUACAACCCAUGACUUUCGAGUGAUGAAUUUUGCAACCACAUCUUCAGGGCCCACCUUUCCACCUUCCAGAUUAGACCAUGACUUCCCAGGUAGAAUUCCCAUUAUCCCAUUGGUCUUCCAGUUCCAAAUGUGAAUACGGUUUCCAUCUUCAGUGAUUAGCACCCUGUACAUUUUUUAGGAGACAUAAUUUCAUCAUAGAGAAAUGCUUGGACAUAUACUACGUAUGCGUGUAGAGUACAUACGCCCUACACGACUUGAUCGAGUUAAAAAAGUAUGUAUAAAUUACUCACCAUGGCUCCCUGGGAUGCACAUCUAUGGAUCUGACAUGCAUAGUUACUUCUUUUCCGAAGCCUAUAUCAUUCGUCACUAACUGAUACAACCACAAAACUAAUAAUCAAACCUUAGAAAAUAUCUCCCUGCAAAAAAAAGAGAAUAUCUAACUAAUGAUCUAUUUAUGCCUGGCAUAUACUUACAGCUCGAUCGUUAUCCUCAGAUAUGACCACGACAGCAGUCAACAUAACCCGGUGCAGUUUGAACCCCAGCAUCUCCUGAGUUACCUUGAUUUCAUCUUCGAUGGACGCGCCUUCGUCAAAAGAUAAUGUUGAUAUCUGCUGAUUGACAACGUCCACAUCGGUAUCUGUGAUGAACAUCAGUACCUCGAAUUUUUCAACGUCUAAGGGAGGAUCCUUUUCAGCUUUCCUGGACAAUGGGAUAGCUACUGUAUACAUUGGCGACAUAAAGCCACUUAAUCUACCGUGGUACCUAUUCGGAACUUCAGGUAUAAUCAUAAACCAGACUCCAGCAUCUGUGUGCUUGUUGGUAAGGCUGAUUUCACAAUGCAUCUUCCGGUUUGGCACGAAGGGGAACCUGAGCUCGAGAGGGUAGAAAUCGACCAGCUCAGUCCCAGGGAACGCAGUGGGGGCGACCUGCAUGCAUGAAUUAUUACGUAACCGACUGUACAUGACGAACUCAAUCAAGUUGAGUUGGCAUAUAUACAAUUUGUGGAGUUAGAAUUUACACUGAUAAACCUUCGUCAAAAGUGAAUCAUACGCACCUUUUCUAUGGAAGACCAUGGAAUCAUGUUCUCUAGAUCAUUCAGGUCACGAGUUACUUCAUGUAUGGUUGGUCUGUUAUGUUUGUCAGGGUCCUUGCAGUUUAGAGCUAUUUCGGCACACUUCCUCGCUCGUGGGCAGUCUAUGUUGUCUAAAUAAUCAUCCAGCUGCAAUUUAAGUUUCAGCAAUCAGUAAAGCAUAACGAAGUACACAACAUAUAUACACAUGUAUUGCAGAUAUUUGGUAGGCCAUGAUUGAUUGACAACAAGUGUUAGUUUAAAAAAAUAUACAUAACUCCUAGCUUGUAGUACAACAAAGCACUGGCCAUUGGUAUUUUUUUAUCUCAAAUACGUAAACAAAGUACGAAAAGCUAGAUGCCCAGGCCCAUAUGUCCAGAUGACAUGGAAGCUGACUCAAUGGACAACUCUUCCUGAUAUUGAGUAUCGGAGAUACAACAUGAAAGGUGCAGUGCGACUAGCCACAUCUAUUUGGCAGAAUUUGACACAUUUUAUAUAAGUAUAAAUUUGACAUAAUUCAGUAAGCCCCCAACUAAUAUGCUUAUGAGCUUCCCACGAGCGCAUUCCAAACGCAUCGUCCUAACAAGUGGGUCCACCUUGUAGUUGGUACAAAAAUAGUACAAAUUUGGAUAAACUCAUCAAGAGGUCACUCCUAAUGGAUAAAAUGUGGCAAAAAGAUAAAUAUACUAAAUGUUGUCAUAAGAUCACAAUUAGGGGUUCAAAAUGGACUAUUUUCUAUAUAACGAUAGUACGAAUGAGUAAAGUUUAACAUCAUUCAAGAAAGCCAACCAGUGUCUCCUUACACUAUUAAGAUCUAUCUUGUCAAUCCCUGUUAAUAGUUCUAUGAUAAUAAUGCCCAAAGCGUAUACAUCUGACUUUAAUGAUAUUUCUCCUUUGUCUAUGGUUUCUGGUGCAAUAUAUCGCCUGCACUGACAAUGGUGAAUGUCAAUUUGAUGUGUCAUUGGACAAAGCAAAUUUAACAAACAGAGAAGAGAUCGUUUUAGCUUACAUUGUUCCAAGUAUGUUUUGAGUAAUAAUAGAUUGUCCUUGAUCCAAGUAUCUGGAUAAACCAAAAUCUGUUAUUUUUGGCUCCAUUUGAGCAUCCAACAUAACAUUUUCAGGUUUCAAAUCAAGAUGGUUAAUGAGUUUUCCAUGAAGAAAGUGUAACCCUUGACAAAUUCCUCUAAUCAUUUGGUACCGUAGAGGCCAGUCGUCUCCUUGACAUUUGUCUGCAAAAAGAAACAAAAGAACGUCCAGACUAGGUAAUAUAUUCUCCCUUCAUGUCCACGAGCUUUGCUCGUGGGUUAAAUAUCGAAAAUGUCCAUAACAGCGUAAAAGUAUUAAGAAAUAAUUAAUUAACCAGAUGAGAAACUAAGUAUAGGAAAUUAAUCACAAGGCAAUAAAGUUAUUGUUGAAUUAAUUAUAUGAUAAAUGAUGAAUAUUCAAAGUUGGAUCAUGUCCAAAAAUAACUAACUUACUCGGGUCAGCAACACUUAUGAAGUACCAAUUUAUAUUUAAGUGAUAAAUGAAGUUGUCAGACCUACAUACCUCCUUGAAGAUAAUGCUUAAUGUUUCCGUUAGGAAGAUAUUCAAAGCAUAGCAACUUCUGUUGCGCCUCUCCCAAUACAUUUUUUCCAUUGAACUCAAGCAAUUCUCCCUGGGAUUCUGAACAAUAGCCUAAAAAUCUUACUAUAUUCCUGUGCUUUGCCUUUUUCAAACACGUGAUCUCAUCUAGAAAUUGCUUUUCAGGCAAAGCAUGCAGAUUCAGUAGCUUCUUCACAGCAACAUUCCCAUUUCGUAGAACUCCCUGCUUUGCUCAUGGUAGCAUCGAUAUGAGCAUUUUGCUCAACUACUGUAAAAAUAAACCAUUUGCGAGGCAAUCAAAAACAGGACAACCAUACCUGGUAAACAACUCCAAACCCACCACCACCAAUUUCAUUAGAAAAAUUGUCUGUAAUGGACCUCAAAAGACCAUAGGAUAGCUUGAUAGGAUCUACACUUGCAUCACUCAUUAUGUGCUCCAAUGCUGCCACUUCACUUGCUUCGUCAUCCAUCUCUAAUUAAAAAAAUAUCCAUUCAUAUAAGAACAAGUGCGGAGAAAUAUAUAUUCAUAUCUUUAGACAAUCACAUAUAUAUAUACUCCUGGGUGGGUGUACGUUCUCCCAUAUUCAAUAUACCUCAUAUACAAGGGUAUUAUACCUCUUUAUCAUUCUCAAUAUACCUCAUUAAUUAUUCUAAGAUACCUCAAUACAUGUAGUACGAAAAAAAAUCAUCGAAGCCCUUAUUUUUCUAAUAUACCCUUUUACAUACGGAAAGCAGUAUACAUGAUAAUAAUUGAAGGUAUAUAGACUCAAAUGAAAUUUUUCACAAAACUCACUUUGGGGUAUCUAGUAUUCAGUAAUGAAGUGCUAGCACUGUGCCCGUGCGUUGCAACGGAUCCAAAGUAGAAUAAUACUUGUUCACAAAAGAAAACGCUCUAGUUUUGAUAUACAUAUAUCACUAAAAAUAUAUUAUGUUACACUCAAAAUAUAUUCCUCAUACUGUUUUGACGAGGUGAUGGAGGGAUGUAGUUGGUUUCAACAUACUAAGGGGUUUUCUGCAAAUUGAAGCAGAGAAGUGAGCUAUUGUUGUAAAAAGACCACAACUUACCUCACAGCCGUUACAUGCAGAUCCAAUGGUCAGAAAUGACGGAUGGCAGACACACCAUCAUCACCAACUAAUCCUUUUAUAGGAGUAGAGAUAUUAAAGUAAUAAAGAGGUAUAACUGACUCAACUUUGUGGUAUAUUGGAUGUGGGAGUACGCACAUCCAAUACCAUCGCAUUUUUCUAUAUAUAUUGUUUGUUCAUUGUAGAAAAUGUCAUAAACUACUCCACUGAAACAAGGGAGUCCUACACCAAAACUCAAAACAGAUACUUCUCAACACAUGACAGGAAUGAUCAAACUGUCAAAAGGUAUUGAAACCUUUCUAGGGACGAUAUCUUUAUAUUUAUUGAAGCAUCGUCGGAGAGUAUUUUGGCGACGUGAUCUAUGGUGCAAAGUUAUGUAGCCUGCUCGAGCCAGCGCGUCAACCUUUAGAAGUCCUCUUCUUUGGAAGGAAGGUGCAUCUUAAGGCCAAGAUAUGUGGCAUUGAAAAUGAAGCUUUGAUUGAAUGGAAGGUAAUAGAAAUAAGAGAAUGGAUCGUUUAAACAUGGGUUUUUAUCAUUUCUGCCACUAUGACCAACCCCAAUCUCAGUUGUACCAUUUGACUGAUCGGACUCCAAUCUUCCACUGCUCCGUUACAACACUUUUCAGUUUUGCCAUUCCGCCAUCUCUUCACCGUUAGUCUAUAAUCAGUUUUUCUAUUUCAGAUUCUCCACCCCUUUCUCUUAAUUUUAUAUCUCACUAAUUGGUUGUACCUAUAUGUUAUCACUUGACAAAUCCAAAGCAAUAGUUCACCACGCGGGCGCCUCCUGCCGCCAGCAAAAUGCCACUCCGUGGUGUCUCCUUAGAACAGUUGUUUAUUAAAUUUUGCAUCAUGUGGUUGGUUAGUAGCUUACAAGGGUAGCAAUAGAUAGUGCAGUGAUAUUCCUAUCUCCAGUUAAAAUCGAAACCUCCAUGCCUACAUGUGAAAGAGAUUCUAUCACUUCUGGUACCCUGUUUAGAUUUGACUUAUUCGGCUUUGAUGCCUAGCUUUGUCUAGCUUUGAACAAUGAAUAAUAUGUGGGUGUAUACAUCAACCAAUGUAAAGGCUGAUAUUAUCCUCCUUUCCGAAAAAAUUACUAUUGUGCUAGCAUUCUCGUAUACUAACUAUCAGUUCUCAAAUUCAGGCUAACUCAAUUCAUGCAUACCAGAGAAUACUUGUUAGAACAAGUGAUGAUAUUUGUGGAGAUGUGACUUUGUAGAAAGUACAUUGUCCAACUCUUUGUCGGUAAUCAAAACAUUAAACUGUCAACACCUUUGACAUAUUAAAUGUAUUUCAUACUGCCCCAACUCUUCAAAUGGCAAAACUGAUUAUGGACUAGCGGUGGAGAGAUGAUGGAAUGGCAAAACCAAGGAGUGUUGUAACGAAGCAGUGGUAAGAUUGGUGUUUCCAUCGGUCAAAUGACAAAACUGAGAUUGGGGUUGGUCGUCGUGGCAGAAAUGAUAAAAACGCUUUAAACAUUGCCUAGAGCAUGUCGAGGAUAGGCAAUAUAGUGCUCAUUAAGGCCAUGUACAAUGCAAGGUGCUAAGCGAGGUGCUUACAGAAAUAAACCAAGCUUUUUCAUAAGCACCAACGCUUAUUUCUAUAGGAGAGGCUGCCUAGUUAGGCAUCUGUCUAGUAUGCAUAAGCACGAGGUUUAUUUUUCUAGGCACCUCCAUAAGCACCUUGCAUUCUACAUGCCGGUGAGCUUUUCAUGUUGUACCUGCCUAUACAGUGAGCCUGGAAACAGAAUCAGCACGCCUCACCAUCAUCCGACAUGAUUAUGGAGUAGAACAACGAUGUUCUACAAAAGAACUUGAAAGAUUCAAUGUAGGGCAUCAAUGAGAAGUUUGAACAAUAAAAACGUAAGAAGCAAUAAUUGUACAUGCAUGCUGAUCAAAUUACAGUGGUAUCAUACAAACCCAAAUACAAGUCAGAGUCAGCGUGGCUGAAUGACGCGGAGGCGACGCCUCACGUUGGCAUCGAGAGGUCUCUCUCCGCCGCUAGCUCGUCCUCGUCUUGUGCCGGCAAAAUGCCUGCAUCUCUAGGGUCCUGGUUCUCAUGUUUGUCCGAGGAUACUAUCAAUGGGAUGGUGGAUGACUCCCCAGGGAUUGUGGUGUGGGCUUCCCCUCGCCGUCAUCCCGGUUCUUGGAGCGAAGGUCCCCAGCAUCAGGUAUGGCAAACUAUUUUUUCAAGGAUGUAGCGGUUGAUAGCUCUAGUUGUUCUAGAUUGCGGCUCUCGUCGCCGCCACGGACUACUCCUAUCUCAGACGACGAGGUUCUGCGGCGCUCUUCCUCGUCGCUGGUGGGAAGGCGUGGCAUCCGGAUCGAUAAGUGGCAUGGCCACCACCACGACCUCGCUUUACACCGCCACUGGUCCUGGGUCAGUUCAUGUUGGCUGAGCUCUCCUAGUCACCGGCGUCCGAUGCUCCAUCGGCAGUGGUCGUCCAUCUGCCUGGUGCGGACACAACUGAAGAGGUUGGAUCGACCUCCCUCUACCAGAGUAUAACUAAAGAGACGUGAGUAAGUAUGCGAGAUGUGUUGACUUUGGAAUUUAGAUUUAAUUUAGCAGGACUAAGCAGACUGGGGGCAUCCUAUAUCUGGAGCCAUCUUAAAGCCCUGUUUGGCAUCAAAGUAUAUUUGUUAGCCAUGCGUUGGAAUACUGUAGUUUAAAAGAAAAACUUCGAUUUAGAAAAAAAUGAUCUACCAGAGCCUAAAUGUCUGUGAGAUACUUUUCUUGUCUAAGAUUAGCGACGCUGAAAGGAUACAAUAAUACAGGCCGACAUGUUUACUUGAUGUUAGCUUCGAAAUUUUAGAAAGACCGCAACCAUUAGACUAAAUUUGCUAGCUGACCAUGUUGUUAGAACAACGGAAAAAAACCUUCAUGCAAGGAAUAAAGAUCAUAGAUGGGUUGGUGAUCCCGCAAACGGUCAAUGAAAAGCACCGGAGAAAAACAGCCCAUAUGUAACACAAAAUCACAUCCACACUAGGCAAACAUCAAACUAUGAGUCAAAAAUAGAAUGUUUUAUACCUCCAAUCGGCCUCAGCUGCUACUAGUUCUCCAAGGAAUCUGCAAUUAGAACAGAUGAAAAAAUCAGCCAAAAAUAGCGUUGUAUGGCUGCUAGAAGGGAGGGUUCAGUAGAGAAGAAGAGGGCCAAGAACGUCACCCGUGAGGUUGUACGCCACCGCUGCCGUUCACCCUCCUGCCACCGCCGUUCCCCUGACGUCGAUCUAGGGUUAGGGGCGAGCUUAGAGAGGAGGUGAUUCGUCCUGGUGAUUCAGAUUCAUUAAUGAAGACUAACAAAUGAAGACUAACAAACGACCUGCAAAAAAAAAACUAAGCAUUUGAACUGUAUAUGAAUGAAAGGAGAGCAGCCUGGUCAACCUUUUAACGGGGAGACGUUCAUUCACCUGGUGAUUCGUCCGUUGGUGAUUCAUCCGUUAUCCGACGGUUCCCAGCGUACCUAAGCAAGCACACGAUCCGUGUGCUCCUUUCUAAUUGGUCAGAGGGAGGAUAUAGAUGACGCUGGUUCUAUGCCAAAUUGGCUUGUGCUUGUGCAUAGAGGUAGUCCGUGCUGAUACCUCCAGAGAGCUUCUACCUCCACGUCCAGCUGUGCCUCAAAGCAACAAAACCUUUCAAAAACAUCCACUUAUAUCAUUUUUCUUGUCUAACUAAAGAGUACUUCCUCCGUUUCUAAAUAUAAGUCUGUUUAUAUAUUUCAGUACAAACUAUACACAGAUAUAUAUAUAUAGACAUAUUUCAGUGCGUAGGUUCACGUGUUUUGCUUCAUAUGUACUCCCUCUGUUACAAAAUAUAAGAACGUUUUUAACACUACACUAAUGUUAAAUACGUUCUUAUAUUAUGGGACGCUGUCACAAAAUAUAAGAACGUUUUUAACACUAUACUAAUGUUAAAAACGUUCUUAUAUUAUGGGACAGAUAUAUAGGUAGUUUAUAUUUGGAAUCUCUAUUUACGACACAGAGGGAGUAUAAAGAAAGGGUGUGUGCUCCUUAUUAGGCAAUGCUCGUUUUUAGAUAUUAUUCAUCUGCAGUUGAGCAGGCAGAUCGGCCACGGUUGCUUGAGCUUCACGGGCAUUCUGCAUAGUGUUUAUCUAAACAAAGAAAGGUAAUAUGGACACUUAUAGAGUACAUUAAGCAUACCAAUAAGAAAGCACUCAUUCGAUGUUACUCCAGUUAUAGAGUACAUUAAGCAUAUCAAUAAGAAAAGCACUCCUGCCUCAACUUGUUUGGGACAAAAGGCUUAGUAAAAAAAAAGAUGCAUUCGUAUUUUGUAGUCCAUUUGAUUUGAAAUGUUUAGAAAGACAAAUAUUUGGGAACGGAGGGAGUAACAAUCAUGAUUUGAGUAGCUCAAGGAAUAAUGUAAACUCUGGCUGCUAAAUUAGCUAGCUACUCCAACCACAAAAGCCCGCCACGCGUCAGCAGCCCCAGGUGCUGGGGUUUUUUUUAGGGGGGAGGGGGGGUGUUAGGGGUUUUGGAGGGCUUAGGGGUUUCAGAUUGUGUUAGCUAGCUACUACAUAUAAAGAGAAUUGACCUCUCUUUCUCCAUGCUUGGUCGACAUACCUUUUUUUCUCCGUGCUUGGUCGAUGCUAGCUACUACAUACGUUGACCAAGCAUGCAGAAAGAGAGGUCACUUCUCUUUAUAGGUAGAUAUGUAGUAGCUAGCAUCGACCUUACUACUACAUAUAAAAAGAAGUAACCUGUUUCUCCGUGCUUGGUCGACGCUAGCUACUACAUAUAGAGAGAACUCGACACUAUAGUAAGUAACUGAAGGAAAUCAUUAAUUACACAAGAUCGUCAUGAACAUAUAUAUAGACAGAACAACAAGUUUUCGUAUAUCUAUCCGACGCUAGCUACUACAUAUAUACAAUAUAUAACAUCCCUCACAUCAUCAAGCACCAAUGUCUCAUUCAAUUUCCGUAUGGCAUUCUCCCUUUUCAGAUAUGAUGUGGUUAAAAAAGAAUUCCGCCAAUUCCUCUUGAAUAACUCGUAUGCGAUCAGUUGGUAGGAGUCCAUCCCGCAUCCGCCGGAUCUAAUUUAAAUAAGGAGGUCAAUACAUACAUAUGAAUGAAACUCAACACAAUUGAAUGUAAUAAAAUAAAAUUGUGAAUCUUGUUUACGUACUUCAUAUUGUUCGUCGGAGUAGCCCUGCUCAGAGGUAUUGGUGGCGAAUGAACUCGCAAACGUACUAUCCACAUAAAUUAUUCCCGCCUUCCUGCCACAAGCAAUUUACGAGAAUUGAGUUCAAUCAAACUGAAAAUCAAGCAUGAUAACGGUAUUGAUGAAAGUAGAAUCAAUGAGAGAUGUGCGGAACUAGCUAGUACUACUUACUUUGGGGCGUGUUGCAGCUCGUUUUUCAGACCCGGAACCAUUCCGAUGACUGUUUCCAUACCGCCUGCCUCCCGUUACUGCUGCACCACCUUCAAUCCAACAACAACAGGCUAAACUUGCAUGACAUGCCGGUCGCAGGCAUGACUUGACGUCUCCGUAUAAGACGCCAUACAUAGCAUCCGCCGGUAGCACGUCCACCGGUGGCUUCAUCUCCCGAUGACAGGCACUGCCCGACAACUUUGAGAGAGGCUCAUGCGUCAAAUGCAGAGCCGCAUCGAACCCGGUCUGUUGAUGAAAGGGACGUCCCAUACCGCCACCAGCCUCAGAAGGCCGUCACCAUCUCGAGAUCCGAACUCCGAGUCGCCCACACGACCCCGAAGUUUGCCGCCAGUGAUGAAGAGGGGCCGCCGCCCCGAUUCCGGGCGCUAAAGGAGCACCCACCGUCGCGCCAGCCGCUGUCAUCGCCCAUACAACGGCGACCGCCGCCACGAUCCCGCAUCAAGCGCCGUCGACGCCGGAGGAAGCUCCAACCGCCACGGCAUCCUGCACCAAAACAACCCGGGACUUGUCGUCGGCAAGCACAUGCACGCCUAGGGGUUCGCUCGCAGCUGUGCGUGCCCGGCUUUAACCAGGAAGGACCACCACGGACGCGGCAACCUUGGCUCAAUUCAGCAAGGAGGAGAGAGCGGAAACAUGGGUUGGCGGCCUUCAUUAGCAAGGAGACUCGUGGCGGUGGUCGUCGUUGCCGAGGCAACUCAUGACGAAGGCAUAGUUGAUGAGGGAUCUCCGGGCGGCGGCUCGCUUAAGUGAGUUGCAGGGUGAGGGGGAAGGCGAGUGCCUCGUCGCGGCCAACAAGAUCACCGGAGGCAGGGGAGUCGCGGGCUCGGCAGCGGGGGUGUUUGUGGUAUCGGCGGCGGGUGUGUUGGGGCUCCGCGGUGGCGGGGAAAAGUGCGGGAGGUGUUGGGGAAUUGGGCCGAACCAGUAAGGGCAUUUCUGGUGUUGUAUGUGUUUUCACGGAAGGGCAAACCGGUCAUCCGCCACUUUGAAGCGGGCUGCGAGGAGCAAAAGCCCGAAUUUUCAGUUGCAGCUUCUACUUGCUGCUGCAAGCACUGCAUGGAGCUAGUUCUGAAACAACCCGUUUGUUAGCUGUAGAAGACAAUGAAAAGAGCCCAAACAAACACAUCCUUACACUUGGGAUCCGCCAAGACUCAUCAGCUUUGACUUACACCCUCUGUCAUACACCGCCUUGAUAGUUAAUACUCCCUUCGUUUCUCUUUUACUUUGCAUACAAGAUUUGUCUUGAGUCAAAUUUUAUAAAGUUUGACCAAAUUGAUAUAAUAGAGAAGUUGAUUCAAUGAUGCAUCUAAUGGCGGCGUCGAUUUUAUAUUGUGAAUGUUUAUCUUUUUACUAUAAUCUUAGUCAAACUUUAUUAUGUUUAACUUUAGAUAAAUUUUAUAUGCGGAAUAAAAAGAAAAUAGAUUCAAACUUCAUAAAGUACUCAGUAGUAGGUGUGACUGAGACUUAUAUUAAAUUAAUGGUACCACUUGUUUAUCGUGGCUUCUUCCGCCCGUCUGGAUCUGGUGGGCAGAACCAGGACACCACCGUUGAAUUCCAUAGCUGGCUGGCUAAUCUCCGCCGAGCUGAGCUGGGUGGAGAGAUGCUGCGGAGCACCUUGCCGCUGCACCGGGUGACGGCGAAGAACAAGGAGGCGUGGAGGAAGGAGGCGUCGAAGAAGAAGGUCCGGAUCCUGGGCAGGGCGGUGCUGGUCAAGAGCGACGUGCUCGACCUCGGCGACUUCCACUCCUCCCUCCUCGACGGCGCCCAAAAGUUGCUCGACAAGGACGACGGCAUCUGCUUCCACCUCGUCAGCGCCACCCUGCCAGACCCCAGUAAUUAAGCGCUCCGUUCCCCUCUCUUCCUUUUCCCUCCUCCCUGCAUUUUCUUGUUGUCUGGGUUCUGCGAGCGGCAGGUCAAGAGCAAGAAACAAUACAAAAAAGAAAAAGGAAAAACAGCUCGCGGAUUUAUCUCUCGGCUGAAACAGCCAGAUCGAUUGAUCGAAUAAUGCGUUGAUUUUUGUCGCAGGCAAGGGGAAUAGGGGAUGGGUGGGGAGGCCGGCGCACCUGCAGGAGAUGGUGGUGACCAACAAGUCGACAGCGGCGGGGGAGUCGGUCUUCACGGUGACGUUCGACUCCGACGAGUCGCAGGGCAUCCCCGGCGCCGUCAUCGUCAGGAACAGCCACCGCUCCGAGUUCCUCCUGAAGACGCUCACCAUCGACAGCGUCCCAGGCAAGAGAACCGUCGUCUUCGUCGCCAACUCCUGGAUCUACCCAAACGAUGACCGCGUCUUCUUCGCCAACGAUGUGAGUACAAAUCCAUUUUCCAUUUUCACCACCUUCAACCCAAAAAUAAUAUUCUUCAUGUCUGGUCUGCUACACCCAAUCAUACUAAAAUAAUUGUGAUGGAUCUUUACCAGAAUUGGAUCCUAGGCAACUCUUUUUUACUACCCCAAAGAGAGGGGGUAUUAGUUUUCAUUAUUUUGUAGCCAUUUUGGAUAGUUUGUAAAUUACUUUUAUUAAUUCUUAAAUGAUAAAAUAAAAUUUAAAAAAAUAUUUGCCACAGAUGAAAUGCGUCGGCCGGUUGGGUGCGCCGGGUGGACAAGAGCUGGUAAUUGUCCACGGUGCCCGUUGGAUCGAGUUACCCUUAAGUACUAACCAUCUAUUGGGAGUUGUGGGAAGAGAGGAAUGCACAAAUCUUUCGUAAUAAUGCCAUUUCCAUAGGAGUCAUUGUUGCUAGGAUUAAGUAGGAGACCUCACUUUGGAUCUCACUUUGGAUCAUUGUGGGAGUGAGGCAUUUGAAUAACGUAAUGCUAUCUUAAUAAAGAGCUGAUUCAGAUAGCAAGUUGAUUGCAUUCAGAUAACAGACCUCACCUUGUAUUUAAAUAUAGCAAGUUGAUAGCUAAUCCCCCGCGGCUGGAGGCUCUCCUCGCACGACGCAGCUGCUGAGGCGCGAUGCGGUGGCGGGAGCAGGGCCGGUCUGGACGUGGCUGCAGGUGGACGCAGUGGCUGCAUAAUAUUCUGAGCAAACCUGGCCAAAUGGGCCAGCCCGGCACGGCACGGCCCGCCCUGAGAUAAACGGGCCAGGCACGGCACGGCCCGCUCAGGCACGCGAACUACUCGGGCCGUGCCGAGCCGGCACGCGUGCUGGCCUUCGAGGCCCAGGCACGGCCCCUGGCUAUACGUGCUGGCCCGUUGGCCCGUAUGGCCCGAGGUAGCCCGCCGGCACGAGGUGGCCCGAUUUUUUCAAAAAAAGCACGUCACAUGGGUGGUGCAGGCUGCAGGCGCGCUCGUCGGCUUAGGCUGGUCACAAUGGGCAAGAACAUAAGCUAGUAACUUACACACUUCCCUAGACUAUGUUACUACCUCCAUAGUGAAUAGGAACAUCUAUGUAGUGUCAUACAACAAUGUAUUUAUUAGGUUAUAGACUCAUUGUUUCUUGAAGUGUGUGAUGUUCCGGUAACUUAGCUAGUUAUCACAAACACCUCUCUCUUCAUUAAAUAUGUGCCACACAAGCAAAGUUGUAUUAGAGUGUGUGAUGUUACUCCUAAGUUCCUUCCCAUUGUGACCAGCCUUAUGCCAUCGAUGCAGGCAUGCAGCAACGCAGGGCUGCAGCCUUCAUGCAUGCAUGCAUGCACGUCUCGCUUCGUUUUUUAGUACAUGUUUUCGUUGUACCUGGUAUGUGGCACUAGCACGAUAGCAACAGUAGGUUUUGCUACGUUUAUUACUUCCAAAGAAUUUGUAGGACGUUUAUUACAUCCAAAAAAUAAGAAGAAAGUUUGUAUGUCAGAAAAUAAGUAUAGAAAGUUGAAAAAAUAUAUGACAAUGUGUCAUCAUGUGGGAUAAAUUUUGAGCUUUAUUAAAGCAUGCCUCAUUAAAACCUUCCGUCCCUAAGAAGUAAAAGAGUACAAUGCCAUGCUCAAGAUAAAAAAACGAAAAUUACAAAGAGUACAACUACAUGGCUUGGUGCCCUGCGGCCUGCUCGUCUGUCUUGUCGUGUUUCUGCUUAUGGCGAUGAAGGUGGCCGAUUCCUCCGUUCCCCAGGCUCAACAAGAUUCCACAUCUUUUGCACUUAGCUUUACGCACGUUGACACCAUCCACCACAAAUACUUCUUCAUCAAAGUAGUUCCAGACGGGCGAGACUCUUCGUUGAACAUUUGGAGCAUCCAUGUGUUGAGUGUGGAAAUGAGAUGGGGUUUGAGUGUGAGAAAUAAGAGGGGGUAGGAAGCCCUUUAUAUAGCCAAAAAACUUACUAUCUUUACAUGGGAUGGCACGUUAGGCACGCUAGGCACGGUAGGCACGGUAGGCACGUUAGGCAAAAAUAAGUCCAAAAAAAUAAAAUGAGGAAAGUGCCAUCAUGUGGGAUAAAUGAGGAAAGUGCCAUCAUGUGGGAUAAAUCUCGAGCUUUAUUAGUGACUGCCUCAUUAAAACCUUCCAUCCCUGAGAAGUAAAAGAGUACAAAGCCACGCUCUAGAUUACAAAAGGAAAAGAAAAUUACAAAAUCAUAAGAAAAUUACAAAAGGAAAAAAUAUAAAGACCUAAUUUGCCCUACAAUGUUCAAAUAUUCAAAAAUGAGACAAAACAUACCUAAACCCCUCUAAACCCCCCUAAACCCCUCUAACCCCACACUAAACCCCACCCAUCGCUGCCACCGGAGGAGGGCACGUCACACGCUCCCCCCUCGCUCCUCCCUGACCAGAUCACCAGACGAGAGACGAGCAACGGUUCUUUCUGCUAUCGAUGGAACCCAUCCCGUGCCGUGCGUGCCGUGCCGUGCUGGGCCAUGCUCGUGCCUGGCCCAUUACUGUGCGUGUCGUGCCGGGCAUAGCAGCCCAGGCACGGCCCUAGCCGGCCCACGUGCCAGGCACGGCCCACUUCGCCUCGUGCCGUGCUGGCCCAUGACGGGCCAGGCACGCGGGCUUUCAUGCCAGCCCAUUUAACAGGCCCGUUUGGUCAGGUUUGAUUCUGAGCAGUUCAAAUAUUCGGCCUAAUUUGGAGUUUCAGCAUCCGGAUGACCCAAAAGUGCAUGUACAGCCCAUGUUUAAAUACACGCUGCAAUACAAGUAUUUCUUAAGUGAUGAAAAUGACAUAGAUAGAUGUAUGAGUAAGUUAGAGUGGCAUUUUUCCAAGUGGUGAAAGUCGUUGCGGCAUAGAUCCAAUUAAUGGCAAACUGGAAAUAGAUACUAGGAGUACGUAGGAGUACUCAAGAAGAAAAGAUGCCAAAUUGCCAAGUUGAUUUGGUACAGACAAGCAACUUCCAGGUUACUAUUAUUUGGUCAGAUCCAUCACCUAAGCUGUAAAGUUGCUGUUGCUGGGUCCGGGCCUAGUCUUUGGGUCAAGUCAACGGCUGGCCUUUCGUUGUGUCAAUAAUGCCUUGUUAGGAAAAUGUAGUGCAUAGUAGAUAUCCUAUACGUCGCAUAAAAUUCAUAUUAGCAUGAAUGAAAAAGUAAGCUUUUUGAGAACUUCGGUCCUUUGAUUGUCUGCUGAUAGUAAAACAUUUUGCUUGGCUGAUCGAUUCAAAAUGACCGACCGAGUGCUGUGCCAGGCUGCUGGCUACCUUCCCUGCAUGCUCAACAACUCCUUUCCGACUAAUUCUUAAGUUUUUUCCUAAGAUAAUGAACUGAUAUUACAAGUUACCAGUAACGACGAAGAUUGUAAGUUGCAAAUGCCAUCAACUUGCUAUCUGAAUAAGCUUCUGGAAUCUCUGGAUCCACAACUAGCUGUUAGAUCUUAAAAGCAAGGUGGCAACUUUUCUACUGUUUACCAAAAGGAACAGCUUUAUUUAACUGUUCCCCUGAUGAUCAGAGGAAUGGGAGACAGAAAUACGAAACCGUUUUCAGAAAUAGUAUAUCACAAAUGACACACUUAGUUAUCUAUUUCUCACUGGUUAAUUAGUAGCAUUCUCAUUUUAAAUCCGUGAGCACCUGCUAGAGGUUUGGGGACUGAGUAAAACUACUCUAUUGUUUUUUGAAUCUGUCACCUCAUUUUUCUUGCUAUUUUGCAGACCUACCUGCCCAGCAAAAUGCCCGCACCUUUGGUGCAAUACCGGCGAAACGAACUCAUCAAUCUCCAAGGCGACGGUACAGAAAGAGAGUAUAAGGAGCAUGACCGUGUGUACCGCUAUGACUACUACAAUGACCUGGGAGAGCCAGGCAGGGGCGAGAUGUAUGCACGGCCGAUCCUCGGCGGCAGCCAAGAACUUCCAUAUCCCCGCCGUGGCAGAACAGGCCGAGGCCCAACAAAAACAGGUGAGUUUUGGUGUGGUAUAUCUUCAACUAUGCACAACCAUGUCACCUUGCAAUUGGACUCAUAUUGGGGGUUUGAUCUUGUCACCAGACCCUAGAUCAGAGAGCAGAAUUCCUCAGUACAAGGUCAUGAACAUCUAUGUCCCACGCGAUGAGCGCAUUGGGCACCUCAAGUUGUCUGACUUCCUUGGGUACUCUCUCAAGGCCAUCACCGAUGCUGUUCUUCCGAUAAUUAGGACCUAUGUUGACAGUACACCCAAGGAGUUUGAUUCGUUUCAAGAUAUCUAUGAUCUCUAUGAUGGUCUUCUGAAAUUGCCCAUUAACCAACACUCAAAGGAGCUCAAGAAUAAAAUCCCCCUUCAUUUUAUUAAAAGUGUUUUACCAUCUGUUGGUGACGACUUCCUAAACUUGCCCCUUCCACAUGUUAUCAAAUCAGGUAAUCAGCUGUGUGCAUGACUUAAAACGGCCAUCCCUUGUUUUACAUUUUAUACUUCUUGCAAUUUAUUUUCUUAAAUUGUAGAUCCGUAUGCUUGGAAAUCAGAUGAGGAGUUUGCACGUGAGAUGCUUGCAGGCAUGAACCCGGUUUGCAUCAGACGUCUGACGGUUAGCACCUACAUAUGACAUUUAAAGAAGAAUAAACCAUCUCCUCAUAAUCGAUUGAGAAUUCCUCAUUUGUUUUCUAUUUUAUGACCACAGGAGUUCCCUGUAAAAAGUACUCUGGAUCCAAGUGUGUACGGGGACCAGUCAAGCACAAUCACUGAAGAUCAAAUUCAGCAGAACCUGGAAGGCCUCACAGUGACACAGGUGUGUUCAAUGAAUCAUUGAGCUAUUUUGUGGUCAAAAAAGGAAAUUUCAUUGAGCUGCAAAUUGCUAGUGAACCGCAUAUGGAGAGAUUGAUUGUCCUAACAACCAUGUAUUGUGCAGGCAAUGGAGAGUAACAGGCUCUUCAUUUUAGAUCACCACGAUAACUUCAUGCCAUUCCUUGACCGCAUCAACAAGUUGGAAGGCAACUUCAUCUACGCUUCAAGGACCCUGCUGUUCCUGAAGGCCGACGGUACGCUGAAGCCCUUGGCCAUUGAGCUGAGCCUGCCGCACCCUGAUGGGCUUCAGCAUGGCGCAGAGAGCAGGGUGUAUGUUCCGGCUGACGAACGAGUUGACGGCCAGAUCUGGCAGCUUGCCAAGGCUUACGCCUGCGUCAAUGACUCUGCUUGGCAUCAACUAAUCAGCCACUGGUAUGAAUGAUGAGUAUAUGUAGAUUCCAAUUGAUACCAAAUUAGUGCUGAGCUUUUAUAGUGUUUCUCUAGGUUGAACACACAUGCGGUGAUGGAGCCGUUUGUGAUUGCGACGAACCGGCAACUGAGUGUGGUGCAUCCCGUGCACAAACUGCUGAGCCCACACUACCGCGACACGAUGAACAUCAACGCCAUGGCGCGGACGGUGCUCAUCAACGCUGGCGGCUUAUUUGAGCUGACUGUCUUCCCAGGAAAGUACGCGCUCGAGAUGUCUUCAGUAGUGUAUAAGAAGUGGAAACUCACCGAGCAGGGCCUCCCCGACGACCUAGUCAAAAGGUAAAAAGAGGAGCUCAUUUUUUUUAGCGUGGAAGAAUAUUUGACUGAAGAUGGAUUUCGCUUGCUUGUUUGUGUGCGCAUUGCAUGCAGGGGCAUGGCUGUGCGAGACCCGUCGAGCCCAUACGGCAUCCGUCUGCUGCUAAAGGACUACCCGUACGCCGUGGACGGGCUGGCGAUCUGGUGGGCAAUCCAGCAAUGGGUGAAGGAGUACUUGGGCAUCUAUUACCCCAACGACUGCGUGCUCCAAGCUGACAAGGAGCUAAAGGAGUGGUGGAAAGAGGUCCGCGAAGUCGGGCACGGCGACCUCAAGGACGAGGACUGGUGGCCCAAGAUGGAGACCGUCGAGGAGCUGGCCAAGACAUGCAUCACCAUCAUCUGGGUGGCGUCGGCCCUGCACGCGUCAGUCAACUUUGGGCAGUACCAGUACGCGGGGUACCUCCCAAACCGGCCGACGGUCAGCCGGCAGAAGAUGCCGGUGCCCGGAACGGAGGAGUACACACAGCUGGAGCGUGGUGACGAGGAGGCCGACAGGGUUUUCAUCCACACCAUCAGCCAGUACUUGCAGAGCAUCCUCGGCCUCACCCUCAUCCAGACCCUGUCGAAGCACUCGUCGGACGAAGUGUACCUCGGGCAGCGCGACACGCCGGAGUGGACGUCGGAUGCCAAGGCACUGGAGUUGUUCGAAAGGUUCGGCACACAGCUGGUGGAGAUCGAGGAGCGGAUCACGGCGAUGAACAAGGAUCCGGCGCUCAAGAACCGGAACGGGCCGGUGAAUAUGCCGUACAUGCUGCUGUACCCCAACACGUCGGACCUCACCGGCGAUCGAGCCUGUGGGCUUACUGGCAUGGGCAUCCCCAACAGCGUCUCCAUCUGAGCCUCCGUCGUCGGUUUGUUGUGUCGCGCAGUGCACUGCGUUUCUUUCUUACAAUGUUGUCAUGUCGUCAAACAAAGAAUAAGUAGUAUUGGCCCCCGAUUAUUUUUUCUGUAAUUUCCAAACGUUCAGAUAACUUAGGUACAAAAAUUCCAUGGUAACUUUGAGNNNNNNNNNNNNNNNNNNNNNNNNNNNNNNNNNNNNNNNNNNNNNNNNNNNNNNNNNNNNNNNNNNNNNNNNNNNNNNNNNNNNNNNNNNNNNNNNNNNNNNNNNNNNNNNNNNNNNNNNNNNNNNNNNNNNNNNNNNNNNNNNNNNNNNNNNNNNNNNNNNNNNNNNNNNNNNNNNNNNNNNNNNNNNNNNNNNNNNNNNNNNNNNNNNNNNNNNNNNNNNNNNNNNNNNNNNNNNNNNNNNNNNNNNNNNNNNNNNNNNNNNNNNNNNNNNNNNNNNNNNNNNNNNNNNNNNNNNNNNNNNNNNNNNNNNNNNNNNNNNNNNNNNNNNNNNNNNNNNNNNNNNNNNNNNNNNNNNNNNNNNNNNNNNNNNNNNNNNNNNNNNNNNNNNNNNNNNNNNNNNNNNNNNNNNNNNNNNNNNNNNNNNNNNNNNNNNNNNNNNNNNNNNNNNNNNNAACAUACCAAACGAUAACUUUCGUUCAGAACAUACCCCGGUAGCUUCUGCGUAAAUAACAUAGUAAUAUAUGAACCGUGGAGCUGAUAACUUAUGUACAAACACCCGCAACAACCUUUGACCCGGGAAAAAGUUGUUGUAAAUAUACCUCUAACAAUCGCCGUAACUUAUUUAACAAGGAAAAAAUUGUUGAAAAACAUACCCCAGUAACUUAUGUACAAUAGCACGGUAAUAUAUGAACCGGAAACCCGAUAACUUAAGUAGAAAACACUGUGAUAACUUUGACCUAUGGAAAAAUAGUUGAAAAUACAGAUGGAUCUGGGACGUGAACAACGGAUUAACGUGAACAACGGAUCCAUCCGUCGAUGAGUUCCUUAACACGACCUUGAAUUGUUUCCAAAUCUACCAUUAGCUUGCUUUUUUCCGAAAUUGGGCGCUUUAUUACUUAAAAGGUUUAAGCAUUACACCCGGCCUACUAAGAUACACAUAGCCAACAAAUUCCUCACGACAAGUCAAAAUAAAAGAAGGCGAAAUACGAAGAAGAAUAUUUAUAUGACGCCUAAAUCGUAGGUAGCCAAUCCUAAGAUCAUGCUGCCAUCCAUGUUGGGUAAAAGUACCCCUCGCCGUAGCCUCCAAACGUGUACACAACUCUGUAAACAUGUCUUGAUUCUCCACUCGCUGUAGAGAAAACUAUAAAUGAAGUGUCCCGGUAUAUCUGUAGAUAACCUGCAUGAAAGAAAUACAGCCAAGUUUUUUUUUUGCGAAAAAACUUCCAAUCUAUUCAUCUUCAAUCAUGGCAGUACAACGAAUACCAGAAAUAAAAAUUACAUUCAGAAUUGUAGACCACCUAGCGACGACUACAAGCACCGAAGCGAUUAACAAUGUGUGAACGUCUAUGUACCACGUUUACCACGUUCAGACCUGCAGGCCCCCCUAAAUAAUUUGUAGGACCUCGAUCCAUGGCCAAGUCUUCUCACAUCUAAGAUUUGCUAGGCCUUGUUUAAUGGUUAAUUAAUGUCUGCCUGUUGUCGAGAGCUAGCUGAGAUCUCAGGUCGACAGAUGGUCUGGAAUGGGGAACAAAGGUGAGGUAUUCUCAUUUGUUCAUUUGUGAAGCCAUGACUGGUCACCUGUAGGCUAUUGUUUGCUAAUAUGUGUUCAUCAUUAUGUCUUGAAGCAAACAUGAAAAAUCAUAUACCUACACCUGUGUUCUCUAUGAUGAGCUGGUAUCAUUUCCAUUAUAUUUUGUUACCGGAUUAAGAGCAAAGCAGUGCAGCUCAAAUUAACAGAAUCGUGAACUUCAAACAUAGCAGCGAAAUGAAGCAUCAAUUUUCUUUUCAAGGAGCAAAAGAUCAAAGCAUGUUUCAGAGCCAGGUAUAGCAGUGUUUUUUUUAGAACGAAGACGCUAGAAGUGUCUGGCUUUAAAUUAAUAAAGCCCACAACGGACCAGGUAUAGCAUGUUUCAGAGUAGCAAACGGACGGACCAAAAGCAAAAGCCCAAGGCGUAGCUAGAGACUUAGUCAAGAAGGGUUCGUAGCCGGGCUGCGAGCACGUUACAUGGCCGAAGCCCAUGGACAGGAGCGUGCAGGCUCGCGAAACAAAAGAUCACUCCCAUCAUUAGGGACGCGUCGCCGGCUCCCUAGCCGCCACGUAGACUUGGUGAACUCGUUCUUGCGUGUGCUUCAUCAUCUCAGAGUCCUUCUGCUUCGCAACGGACUCCACUGCUGCAAGAGGAUAGAGCAUUUGCAUAUGAUAUUAGCCGGGUGCGAUGGGAAUGACCCCUCAAUGGUAAAUUUGUUGCGGGUGAGCCAUAAGGACCAUAACAUCGCCCCUAUACUAGUCCACAUCACACGCUUGUGUUGACCCCGAACAGAAUCCAGGAGUCCCACAAGUUUGGAAGAGGAGCGCGGGUCCCAUGGGACACCGGCAGCCUCGCGCACAGUGCUCCAAGCAAACCUAGCUAGGGGACAUAGGAAGAAGACGUGGUUUGUGUUCUCGGGUUUCCCACAUAAUGCGCAAGGACCCGUUGCCGGGCCGUUCCGUUUUGCAAUGUUGAUCGACAUGGGGAGGCGGUCCCGGAACAAUUGCCAAAGAAAAACUUUGAUCUUUAGCGGAACGCGGGCUUGCCAAAGUCACAUCACCUCCCUCUGUACCAUCCCUUGGCACAGUUGGUUGUAUAAGGACUUGACAGAAAACUUUCCGGAGGCGUUUAGAUGCCACGACACCCUGUCGGGCUCAUUUGACAGCACAACGGGGGAAACCAGAUCCAGCAAAGUACCCCACCUAGCUGACUCCAGAGCACUAAGGCGCAGAAGGCUAUGGCCUGGGGGAGCCAAAGCCUCUGCCACCCUUUGGUUUGGAUGCACCGGAAGUGCAUACAAAUCCGGGAAAUCUUGCCAAAGGGGGCGAUUGCCGACCCAAAAAUCAAUCCAGAAACGGGUGGGACGGCAGUUGCCGACAUUGAAUUUGGCCCCCUGGUCAAAAGUCGGUCUAAUAGCCUGUAGGUCCUGCCAGAAAGGGGAGCCCCUCGCCUCGGCUUUGAAAAAAUUCCCGUUGGGGAAGUACUUCGCCCUAAGGAUAUCAGCCCAUAAGCCCGUCGCCCCUCGCGAAAGCUUCCAGAUCCACUCGCACAUGAGCGCAAUGUUUUGUAGUCUGGUAUUGGUGAUACCUAGUCCUCCCAAGGACUUGGGCCUACAUACCGCAGCCCAUUUGACCAUAUGGUAUUUGCGCUUGAGACCCGUCCCUUCCCAAAAUAAGCGGACCCACGGCAUGUCCAUUUUGGCGUGAACCCCCUCGGCCAACAGGAAGAGGCCCAUGGCGAACAUGGGAAGCGAGGACAGACUCGAGUUGGUCAGGACGAGUCUAGCCGCCGAGGACAUGAACUUGCCACACCAGGGGCUCACUUUCUUACCCAGUUUCCCAUUUAGAGGUGCCCAAUCAUCUAUGGUCACCCCUCAUGGUGCUAGGGGCAGUCCUAAGUACGUAAAGGGGAACUUUCCCAUUUUACAGUUGAGAAGGUCCGCGAUGCGUCGCCCCUCCUCGCUAUCUAUCCCCAUAGGUAGCAUUUCACACUUGUGAAAAUUGAUCUUGAGACCGGACACCAUUUCAAAGCUCACCGUUGCUAUGCUGCGAGUAUCUGGUUUGAACAGUAGCAGGGUGUCAUCUGCCUACUGCAAGUGCGAGAUCCCCCCUGGGAUGAGAUGGCCGACCACUCCCCUGAUGUGGCUAGUCGUGGUCGCCCUCCGAAGCAUAGCUGCAAGGGCAUCCACCCCAAAAUUGAACAACAGCGGGGAUAUCUGGUCACCCCUGACGCAGUCCCCGCUUAUUCCGGAAUAAGUUCCCUACUUCCCCGUUGAUCGAGAUGCCAGUCUGGCCACCCGAGACCAGCUGCAUCACUCGAUGGACUCACAUGACCGAGAAACCCCGACUGAGAAGGACCUGACGCAGAAAAUUUCAGUUCACGCGGUCGUACGCUUUUUCGAAGUCUUAUUUAAGAAGAAUGGCCGGUUCCCUAGUGCGUUUUAGCUCAGGGAAGAUCUCCUGCAACGCAGUUUGUGUGCGGCUAAUAGUACGGUGCGCGAUCGGGACGAGGCGGGAGGUGGUAGCUUUGGAACAGAUCUUAAAAGGCACAUUAAUAAGCGCGAUAGGUCUAAAUUGACGGAUGUACGUCAUCAGUUCCUGCCACCUUAGGGAUGAGCGAGAGGACCCCAAAGUUGAGCCUGGAGAUGUCUACUGUCCCACGCAUAAAACCGUUGCACACCUCGAACAUACGCCCCUGCAGGAUCGACCAGAAGUGUUUGAACAUUGGCACGGGCCACCCGUCCGGGCCUGGCGCAGUAUCAGUUUUCAUGCUCCUGAGAGCAGCAUCAAUCUCCUCGGGUAAAAAGGCGAGCCCCAGCUCCUCGUUUUCCCGAUCGGUGACGAGCUGGGAAAGGUCCCAUAUGUCAGCGCGCACCCCAGCUUGCUGAUCGUCGCUCGUCCCCAUCAAUUGGACAUAGAAGUCGUAAACAUGACGCACUAUAUCCGCCUGAGCUAGCAGUAACCCCUGUUCAGACUGCAAGCGAAGGAUCGCACAUCUACGUCGUCUCCCAUUAGUGUAGGAGUGGAAGUAUUUCGUGAUGGCAUCGCCUUUGAGGACCCACUUUAGGCCACCCCGAUGCCUCCAGUACUCCUCUUCUGCUCAGAGCAGGGACUGCACCUGGUCUUCCAACGCGUAACGACGGGCCCAUUCUAGUUCCGAGAAAGGCCUCACGUCAGCCUGUUGGUCAAGACUCGCGAUCUCUGUGAGGAUACUCUCCCUGAGCAUCCUAUCCUGGCGGCCCAAGUUGGCCCCCCAGCCCUUGAGACUAGCCCGAAGGUGGCUCCCUACCGCAAUCCAGAACUCCAUCGGGUCCCGUUGGCCCCCCAGCUAACGCAAAAGUUACACUUCACCCUGAAGAUGGAAUCGAAGUCUGGAUUUUCGAACCAAGCCGUUUGGAAGAAAAAUCGAGGGCUUCGACGAACCCUGUCCUCCCCUGAGGUAAGGAUAAGCGGGACGUGGCCCGACCCGAUCCUGGUCUCCGCGACAAGCGAGCAUAAGGGGUUAACCAGCUCCCAGUGAGGAGAGAUAAACACCCUAUCUAGCACUGAUCGCACCGGGGCCAGUUGCUUAUUCGUCCACGUGUAGCGAGCCCCAGACCGAGCCACCUCGCGAAGAGCCAUGGUGGCAAUGGCAUUAUUAAACAUGGUCACCCUUGGCCAGUUAAUAUUGCAGUUGUUCUUGUCCGCACCCGAGCGGAUCAGAUUGAAAUCCCCCCCCCCCAACUACUAGAGGAAUAAGUGAGGAGCUCACCGAGAGCACCUUCGAUUGCACUUCGCCCAAAAAUUCGACCGAUCUUGAGUGAUCAGCAGGUCUGUAGACCUGAAUCACCACCAGCUCCCUCUGAGACUGACGGUGGCGAAUGUGCCCUGCUAUAAAAAAAGGUGCCUGCAUCCCAUGCUAGCACCUCAUAGACAGCUUGGGCAAAGCCAAGCAGCAUGCCCCCAGAGUGCCCUGACGCGGCAAGGUGGUUCCAGGAAAACCUCUCCAGAGGGUCGAUGGCAAGCAGCUCAUGAUGACAAAAAUCUAACUUAAUGGUCUCCUGCAAGCCUACAAUGUCGAUACCCUCCUUCCGCAUGUACUCCUUUAGCUGGGAUCGACGCCCCACGUGACCGAACCCAUGAAUGUUCCAAAAGAUAGCACGCAUCUAGAUGAUUCGAUUGCAAAGGCGGAUGCCUCUCGAAGACACCGCUUCGGCCAUACGCCUCACCUUGGCCAUGCAAGGCAAGGGAGAGGGGGCAACCCCUUGUUGCCAACACCACCUCAUCGGGCUGAAUUGCAGGUGCUAGGGAGGCCCCUGGCUCCUGCACCAGCUGGUCCGUGCGCGCCGCAGCCGCAGCUACGAGCGCAGCUUGCACCUGCUCCUUCGUGCGCAGGAGAGGGAUCAACUCACGCGGACCCCCAAGACACGACGCGUCCACCCCACUCUCCUCUAACACCUCACUAAGAUGAUCAUCAGAGAACGCGUGCAGAACCAAAAAGUGAGGGGUCGGGUUACAUGUGUGCUCGAGGUUCUUCUGGGCCUGGAUGAGUUGCGCCCACUACAGCGCCGGCAGGUUUGCCUUGGUGCCCCUAUUGCGCGAGCUGGAACGCACCAGAGCCGCAGCCACUGCCUUGGAUCUCUUGGCCCGCGGGAUCGGCGCUGGUUGCCUCCUGGAGCAGAAUGUCUCCUGGACCCGUCGCCUCCAUUUCUCCGCUCGUUCUCUGCCGCGCCGAAGGCCUGCCGCGCCCUCGCCCUCGACGCCNNNNNNNNNNNNNNNNNNNNNNNNNNNNNNNNNNNNNNNNNNNNNNNNNNNNNNNNNNNNNNNNNNNNNNNNNNNNNNNNNNNNNNNNNNNNNNNNNNNNNNNNNNNNNNNNNNNNNNNNNNNNNNNNNNNNNNNNNNNNNNNNNNNNNNNNNNNNNNNNNNNNNNNNNNNNNNNNNNNNNNNNNNNNNNNNNNNNNNNNNNNNNNNNNNNNNNNNNNNNNNNNNNNNNNNNNNNNNNNNNNNNNNNNNNNNNNNNNNNNNNNNNNNNNNNNNNNNNNNNNNNNNNNNNNNNNNNNNNNNNNNNNNNNNNNNNNNNNNNNNNNNNNNNNNNNNNNNNNNNNNNNNNNNNNNNNNNNNNNNNNNNNNNNNNNNNNNNNNNNNNNNNNNNNNNNNNNNNNNNNNNNNNNNNNNNNNNNNNNNNNNNNNNNNNNNNNNNNNNNNNNNNNNNNNNNNNNNNNNNNNNNNNNNNNNNNNNNNNNNNNNNNNNNNNNNNNNNNNNNNNNNNNNNNNNNNNNNNNNNNNNNNNNNNNNNNNNNNNNNNNNNNNNNNNNNNNNNNNNNNNNNNNNNNNNNNNNNNNNNNNNNNNNNNNNNNNNNNNNNNNNNNNNNNNNNNNNNNNNNNNNNNNNNNNNNNNNNNNNNNNNNNNNNNNNNNNNNNNNNNNNNNNNNNNNNNNNNNNNNNNNNNNNNNNNNNNNNNNNNNNNNNNNNNNNNNNNNNNNNNNNNNNNNNNNNNNNNNNNNNNNNNNNNNNNNNNNNNNNNNNNNNNNNNNNNNNNNNNNNNNNNNNNNNNNNNNNNNNNNNNNNNNNNNNNNNNNNNNNNNNNNNNNNNNNNNNNNNNNNNNNNNNNNNNNNNNNNNNNNNNNNNNNNNNNNNNNNNNNNNNNNNNNNNNNNNNNNNNNNNNNNNNNNNNNNNNNNNNNNNNNNNNNNNNNNNNNNNNNNNNNNNNNNNNNNNNNNNNNNNNNNNNNNNNNNNNNNNNNNNNNNNNNNNNNNNNNNNAAAAAGAACAAUAAACAAAAAAAGAAAAGAAAAACGAAACAGAAAAAGAAAGGAAAAGAAAUGAAAAUAAAAAAAGGGUUGGGAACCCUCGUAGGUGCGUUCGCUCGACAGUUUGACGCAGACAGCGUCAUAUAGGAAAUUCCAACGUAUCCUAAUCACUGUUUCGGCGUCGGCUACAACGGGCCGGUGCAUUAGCAGCAGUACAGCCGCGGAGGCUGCAACUGCAGCCCGGCUAAGACCCAGGCUCGGCCAUAUCCAGCCCUGUGUGACGCUCUUUGCAUCAAAAAGUCGACGCGUCUCACAGGACGUAGCUCACCUGGGCCGGCCCAUUUUGGGUUCGCGACAUGAUAAAUUGGAAUUUCCUCCCUCUCCGUGACGCCGUCGUCUGCCGCCCCGUCUCGCGCUCUACCGCGACACCCUCUCCCACCCCUUCCUCGCCCCCUCCUUUUGCCACCGCCCUUUCGCCACCGCCACCGCCACCGCCCCCCUUCUUCACUUAAUUAAUUUGUUUGUACUACAUGUUUUCAGGACUGACAUAAUGGCGGACGAUAGAGCUGACCCGAUUAUGGACAACUAUGAUCCGUACGGUGAAGCACAUAUGUUCGGCAUCAUAAACGGCGAUAUUCUAUAUGUGCCGACCGGAGAAGAAGAAGAUGAUAUCUCUUCUUAUCUGAACCUUGACGGUGAAGAUGAAAGGCGCCGUCAGCAAGAUGAUGCCGAACAAACGUCGAUAAACGACGAUCUUCAAAUGGAAGUAGCAACCACCUCCGGCGCCGAGGUAUAUAUAUACAUUGAGCCUCUGGUGAUACAAACUAACUGAUUUGAAUAAAUAUGUGUGUACUAACACGCGCGACUCUUUCUUAUUUUAGCCCUCGGCCGGAUCGUCGAAACAAUCGAGUACGUCGUCAAAGCGUGGCGCAACCAAGACGAUGAAACAAGGAGAAACAUGCACCAUCGAGGUUGUCGACAGUGCAACCGGCAGGCCGCUGGAGCCCCGCAAGAACGCCACCAAGUUUGUCAGCCAAUGCGGAGCCAUUGUUAGAGACAACGUCUCGAUCACCGUCCAGGAGUGGAAUGAGCCAAAGAAGGCACGAAAUGAUGGUUUCACUUUUGUCGAUAAGAGAACAAAAAAGAUUGCUUCAAGAAGCUUAUGGAACAUUUCGUUCUACCUCCGGAAUACAACAAAUUCGAUGAGGAGGGUAACAAGAUUGAGGAAAACAAGGAGAGGAGGAGGCUAGUCAAACAGUUCGCUCUUCAUAAGAUGGCCUACGCAUUCCGGAAAUUCAAGCAAAAUCUAGCCCAUGACUUUGUCAAGCAGAACAAGACUCCGGAUUUCAAAGGACAAUAUGAGAAACUGAAACAUGAUUGGCCAGAAUUUGUGAAGCAAAAGAAAUCGGAGCAGUUCAUUCAAAUAUCGAAAAAAAAUAAGGAAAAUGCGGCUAAGAAGGAGUACAAUCAUGUUAUGGGGCCAGGAGGGUAUCGCAUUUGGGUGCCUAGGUUGGAGAAGAUGGAGAACGAGCUGAGGGCGCGAGGAAUCCGUCCAGGUACGGAGGGAUGGGACCCAAGGGCCAAAAGCUGGUGGUACGGGCAUGGGGGAACGCUGAACCCGGAGACAGGGGAGUGUGUUUACCGGGGCAAAUUAAUUAAACCCACCCAAGCCCUUAUUAACGCAAUGAGGGAUGCUCAACAGGGGAAGAUCAAGUUCAACAGAGAGAACGACGCGCUGACAAAAGCCCUCGGGAAUCCUGAACACGGAGGACGUGUACGAGGCAUGGGGCACAUUCCGUGGAAAAUAGGGUUCCCCCAGAACGAUGACCCGUACGGUUACAGAAGCCGUAAGAGAAAGAUGGAUCGGGAAGCAGAUGUUGUGGCGCGGUUGGCAUCGGAAAUGGAUGUGAUGAAGAAAACCAUGAGUAUACUAGUAGCCGAAAGAGAUGCAGCUCGGGUGCAGCAUGAAGAUCAUCCAGCGGAUCUCGGAAGCCAGCAGCGGAGAAGCAGCGUGGCUUCCACGGAGGCCCCACCGGCUGGUGCAGAUGCACCGACGAUCGAAAUUACUGCACCGGAGCCUCUGGUGGUCGAAAUUACUGCACCGGAGCCUCUGGUGGUCGAAAUUACUGCACCGGAGCCUCCUCGCUACCCCGUGGACGAUAUAAAGGAGAUGAAAGAAUGUCAUCUGUAUUAUCCUAUCGGGAACAUGUCCAUGAAGGUAGCCAUCGGCAGUGCUUUACCAUGUUUACCUGGAGCACUCCACCACAACAACCCCAUUCAAGAUGGCUAUGCUCGUGUCACGGUGGAGGACAUAGUCCAAGGGUUUGAGGACCUGGAGAUUGACAUUGCUACACCUGAAGGGGAGAAAAGACUUGGAGAUGUCAAGCGCCAUUUCAUUCUAUGGCAAAAGAAGUUUAUCAAGUUUCCAGGCGAGGCGCCAAGGACAACAAGUCCACCCCCCUACGGUGGUGGUGGUGGCGGUGGCGGUGGUGGUGGUGGUGGUGGUGGUGGCGGUUCACCUACACCUCCAUCACGUCAGCCGACGCCGCCCCUCAGUCCACAACGUCCGGCGGGUGAUCAGCCGCCGCCCCCCAGUCCUCGUCCGGCGGGUGAUCAGACGCCGCCCCCCAAUCCACCUCCGGCAAAGAAGCAGAAGCAGUCCUGGAUUAUUAACCCGGACCCUUAUGUACCUAAGACCACAAAGGUACCGGAGCCAUCACUGAAGCCUCUCCCCACAAGGUCUUGGGAACGUAGUGCCGAGGAAGUCGACGCGGCCGCGGCUGCUGAUUUGGAGAAAUGGAAGGCGGACUGCAAGAAGAAAACAGAGCCCGAGCCCAAGCCAGUAUUUUCUGAUGAGCAAAAGAAGUGGGCUAAGUCAUUUUUGAGCACACCGUCCCAAGCCGCGAAGAAUCUGCCUAACGACUAUGCACGUGAACUUCGCAGGCAGGCACUCAUGUUCAAGGAGAACAAAGAGCGGGAGAAGGCCGAAAGUAAAAAAAGCGGGAAACAAGUUGCCCAGCUCGGGGAACAAAGUAAACAAUCGAUUGCCCCGCUUAUAGUGGAAGCCUUCUGUCCGGAUGCCCCCAAGAUCAUACUAGCUGCGGCAGCACAGGGAUUGACUGUAACGAGUGCCAGAGAACAAGCGGCCAACUUAGGUAUUACUCUUCGUGAACUGUUAGGCCUUGAUGAGGCGCCAGUGAAGGAGGUAGUAAUUACAUAUGUCAAGAAUGGGCCUCUCGUCGAGCCUGCGCAGGAAAAGGAUCUACCUCCACAAAUGAAAGGUCUGCUGAAAUGGUACAAGGGUUACAUAAAAAAUAAAAACGCCAAAGAAUAUAUUUAUGCGGAAGUUAGACAUGAGCAUCACUUCAAACAUUACUAUGUACAAAUUGAACUGAGUGAAUUGUUCCAGUUUUUCAAUCUGCGCGAGCUCGAUAAAUCUAUCAUCAGUUGCUACGUUCUGUAAGUGAUUUAUUAAUUUCUACCCCAUCUCGUUCAUAUUGCCUGCACUAUAUAUAUGUCCUAACUAUAUUGUUGUGUCCGCUAUUAUACAUGCAGAAUGAAGAUUAAGGAAUGCAGAGUAAGGAACAUCCAUGAUGUUGGGUUCAUUGACCCACACAUCGUUAAUGGACAUGUGUUGGAGCGUUACCCCGCCGACGUGGAGGCAGACCUGUGGCAGUUUCUUACAAAGCAGGAACUCAAAAGUGAUAUUCUAUUUCCUUACCAUUUUGAGUGAGUGUUUCUGUCUUGAGCACAUUCUCUUUUGUUUACUCCAUGCAUGGUAUGUGGCCGGCUAAUCGAUGAGUUAUGCAUGAUGUACUGUGCAUGUAUCGUGUCCGCAGGUUCCACUGGAUUCUGCUAGUAAUUAAAGUUAACACCUUAGAAUGUCUCGUCCACGACUCUGUGAAUAUGGAUCCAAAGCUUUGGGGCGGCAUGAGAAGAAUGCUGCAGAAGUAAUUAUUUUCAUUCAUUUGCGCUCUAUAUCGAUCGGCCUAUUUCGUUCAUUUCCUAAUAUCAAGUAACUAAUUAAUAACUCUCUUGUUCAUUUAAUUUUCUUUGCCUCGUAGGGUUUGGAGACGGUUCGUAGAUACAAAGGUCGGUGAAUUCAAAAAAGAGCUAGAAUUCAAAAUGUUAAAGGCUAAGAAUGCUGGGGAUAUUCAGCCACCGGAGACCAAUCUAUGUGGAUACUAUGUCUGUGAGAUGAUCCGGAGAUACACCUCUGAGCGGGUUCCGAGUGAUACCAAUGCUAAGAGGAAUAACCUCCGGUGGAUGCUUAGUCCAGAAGCUCGCUUUCGACCACUUCAAGAGGAACUAGCUGGAUGGUUCAGCAGGGAAGUCCUCCAUCCUAAAGGAGAACACUAUUACGAGGACGUAGAACUUUAUAUGCAUUAAAUCAUGUAUGGAAACUUGUUCAAAAUUGUAUAUGGUCAUCCGAUGAUAUUGAAUAUAUAUUGUAUAUUCCUCUUGAAUUCUUUUUGGUUCUAAUUUCAAAUUUAUUUGAAAUUGUACAUUCAUAUGCAUGUAUGUAGUACCGUAGAAUAUAUGAAACUCCUUCAAAAUUAAAAUAAAGCACAAAAGAAAUAAAACAAUACAAAUUAAACAGAAAACAGGUUUAGGGGGGGGGGGCUAAAACCCUAAACCUGCGGCGGCCUUUAGUCGCCGUUGGCCAGAAGAACCGCGACUAAAGGUCCUCCGCCCCGACGGCCACCUGGCGCCCACGUGGACGGGCCUUUAGUCGCGGUUCUUAAGCAACCGCGACUAAAGGGGGGGGGUCUUUAGUCGCGCCCGUUCGGUCGCGGUUGCGCAACCGCGACUAAUGGCAGUUGCGAACCGCGACCAAAGGCCCUUUUUCCACCAGUGCUUGGUUGCCUCCUGGAGCAGAAUGUCUCCAAUGGGAUGCGCCGAGGGGGGAGGCGAGCGCCAUCACCGGUUGACGGGGAGUAGGCGACGCGCCAAGCUGCUCCACGGGCCUGAUACCAUCUGCGAUGACUUUGCGCCCCGCCAGCUUCUUGGCUUGCCGCACGGAACCGCUCUUGCUUUCAUCGUGCCCUCCCGAGGCCAGCGACCCGGUCAGGGAGGGGAGGAGGGUGCUUGCAGAUAGCACCAUCAGCGUGCGCUCUCCCGCAGGCACACCCAUCUCGCAAGACGCCGUCAUUCCUUUGUCGAGCAUGGCCACCGAGGGGGGGGGGGGUCACCAUCCCCAAGUUGGAGCCAUACUGAUUCACCACCUCCACGUCCAUCACAGCCGCCGAAGCCGGGACGAGAGCUUGACGAGUGUGAGCCGCCGGAGAGCCCUCGCCACGUAGGCUGAGCUUCUCCCACGCUGCCGUGUCGAUGGAGUCGUCGUCCAUGCUCGCCUCGUGGUCCUUGUCAUGCCCCGGGUCUUGUCCUUGUCUCCGCUGUCUGGGUCCUUAUCCUUGGUAGGNNNNNNNNNNNNNNNNNNNNNNNNNNNNNNNNNNNNNNNNNNNNNNNNNNNNNNNNNNNNNNNNNNNNNNNNNNNNNNNNNNNNNNNNNNNNNNNNNNNNNNNNNNNNNNNNNNNNNNNNNNNNNNNNNNNNNNNNNNNNNNNNNNNNNNNNNNNNNNNNNNNNNNNNNNNNNNNNNNNNNNNNNNNNNNNNNNNNNNNNNNNNNNNNNNNNNNNNNNNNNNNNNNNNNNNNNNNNNNNNNNNNNNNNNNNNNNNNNNNNNNNNNNNNNNNNNNNNNNNNNNAGCUCCGGCUCAAGCUUGAUGAGGAAACCCUCCCCAUUGAACCCGAUCUGGACCGACCCGUGCAUCUUCUCUGGCUUACGGCAAGCGAAAAGCAUCCGCACCGGGCCUGAGCGGAUCAAGGAGAGCUCAUCCACCACCAGCGGUCUGCCCAACAUAGUCAUCCCCGCCAUCAGUCUGUCCACCCUGGGAUGCUUCGAAGGGAUGCCCCACAACUUAAUCCACACCUCUGGCAUGGAGUCCCCUUUGAGCGCGUCCGCCACGGCAUCACGAAUGAGCGCAGUGAUGUUGUUGAUGGAGAGGAACAACUUGCCACUGCGAGUCGCCAUGCGCAGCAUGGCCGGAUCUGGAAAGACCACCGAGAAGCGGUCGGCGUCGAUCUGGGCCACCUGCCAGUCCCAUGCGCCCUCAAAAAGGUGAGGCAAUCCUAGCCAUUAAUGCACACAAACGGUCGGAGGUAUACUCUCAAAAUACAAACAAAAGCUUAUUCAAAUAACAACUGAAAGUUUGUAAGUUUACAGUUAAGAUGUAGUGUUUACAGUUGAAACUUUCUCAUGCUUACAAUCUGGGACGACGCCCUUCAUGGACUUUCUCAUGCUAAGUCUGGCCAAAUCUGGAUUAACAAUGUAAAAAAAACAAUGUAAAAAAAAACAAUGCUCCCUUAGUUAAUUAGUAUGGUAUCAAUCAAUUCCCAAGUCUUCUCAUACCAGUAGCUGUGUCAGUCAGAUCUAAUGACGCAGGUUAGCACGCAAAACAUUGUGAACUUUGAUGAUGUUAGCUUGAUCUGAGAAGUCGCCAUUACAUUCAGAGCUACACAAGCUUUUGUGUGUGUGUGUGUGUGUCAAGUUGCUUAAGCACAUCGGCCGUUGACUAAUUGCUCGCCUCGUUCUUAUGCAUCUCAUAGAACAACUAUGGCGUGGUGCAGAUUCAAUGGACUGGCAAGGAUCAAAUCCGUCGAUCUGUAAUGUGAUGCCUAUAUAAGUUAGCUACUAGAAAAAUUAAUUAGAUAGUGAAUUCAUAUGAGAGCCGUAGCCACCUGUUCCCUUGUUAUCAAAUUGAGGCUCCAUGGACCGGCUAAUCAGAUCAACGAAUAUCUUAAUUAAGACCUCGAUCGACCCCUCAAGUCUUCAAUAGAUAGCCAAGUUGUCCGAAUCAUGUUCAGAUCUGCAGCUAGAGGCUCCUUUAAUUAAUUAGUAGACCUCGAUGGUCUCAAAGUCUUCUUCCAGCUAAGUCUAGCUAGGCCUUGUUUCUUCAGAUCCGGGUCUAGCUUUGAUUGCAGUGUAAAUCAUUGUUCAUCUGAUGCCAUGUUCAAAUUUCCUAUUCCACAUCAAACUAUGAAGAGUUCUUUACAGCUGUGGCUGCACUUGCGCAUCCAGCAUUGCUAAAAUGAAAAGACAUGUGCAAUCUUAUCUUAUCUUAUAUUUACUAAUUGGAGGCACCAUACGAGCCUCCAUAUUAAUCCACAUCAUUAAAAAAAAUCUUAACCAUUCAAUCUGUAUAAUGAUCAAUUUUAACCCUAUGAUUUGCGUUGCACUGUGGCAAGAAAUAAGAACAGCCUGACACGACCCCUACCACCACAAUUUGUAGAAAGAGUCCAUGUCCCUAAAAAUAAGAGUCCACGUCUAUUUCAACCAAAAAAAAGGAGAGUCCAUGCUCCAAUUCCCCACCAUAAAAGAAGUGUCCUUCCACGCCCCUAUUCCCAAAAAUCAUUGACGUACAUGUUUCCUUGAAAAAAUAUACACGCACAAUUAAAUACUGUUCGAGAAUCACGUUACAAAAAAAGUGAGACAAUCGCUGCUCAGAAAAAACUUUUUUGUGUAAAUGCUCAGAAAAAAUCAAUCCUACCUUACGAAAUAAAUUCACAGUCGAUUCUUUUACUACGUGAAAUAACCUUAUUAAAAGAAGACCAAAUCUAUUAGUUUAACAUGUGAAAUCAUUAAUUGUAACACUACUAGGAAAAUGUACAUCAAAUGGCAUGCACAGAAAAAUCAUACAUGAACAUAAAACUACAACGUCCCAUCAAAAAACUGUACGAAGUCCCAUCCAAAAAAAUGUGAAGUGUCCUUCCAUGAUCUCCCAUAAGCACGUUUCGUUUCUUUUUAAAACUCACACGCGCAUGUGUCGAAAAAAAGGAUGAACGACGCCCCUUAAAAAAAGUAUAGCGGAAUUCAAACAAAAGUACAGCGUCGAGUCAAAAAAAAUAUACGGCGUCGUAUCAUAUUCUCCCUCAAGCAUAUUUUCUUUCUUGAAAGCCACAGUUAUAUCUCCUAAACUCUCCUGAUUGAUAUCCUUCCCAAAAAAAGCUCCCCUGAUUGAUUUCAAAUCCAAAGAAAGAAAAACGCAUCGGCAUGUUGCCACAAAAAUCCUUUUUCAGUUCGCUGCCCGUACCGAUGGCGAGUCAUCUAGAGUCUCUACCGCCACUCUUCCUAAUCAUCCGCCUAACUGUGUCAUCUGUUCUUCAGGCCAUCAACGCCACCUUCAAUGUUCUAUCAACCACUGGAAUCAAUCUAAAAAGAUUUAUAGUCCAAUCCGUCAUAUCCUACUGUGAUCAUGUUUCUUUCAACCUUGGAAAACAUGAUUGUCAUCAUCCAUUAGCAUAGAUGAUAGUGUAUGUAAAAGUUCAGAUUUUUCAGUGUCCAGAGUGUUGCCUACUACUCCUGGUAAGUGGUCCUCUAGGGAAGUACGAAAUAACCUAAGUACAUACAUACAUAGCUCUUUAACACAUCAAGGAGACGUGCUAAUUGCAAAAAAAUAAAAUCGAUUGAUAUAUGCCCCAGUUAUGUCUCAGAGCAUGAAAGCCGAAGCAAGGAGAAUCAAGGCACAUGAAAUGUUUCUUAGGGAUAAUCGUAAAUUUUACCGAGUUAAAGUCAAAUAGUUUUUUGGCCUAAAAUUUGGGAUCUAAAACUUUCUUAGAAUCAUCAUCAUUUACAUGAAGAGACUUUUAAAAAAUUGGGUUGUACAUUAAUUAUUUAUUCUAUGAAGUAAUAUAGGGCUACCAAUAAGACUUUAUCUUAUGCUGGACUUAUAACUAGCAGAGAUAUUUUUCUUGAAAAACAUCAUCAAGUAUAGGAAUUCCAUGAGAAUAUUACGCUCUAAGUAUUAUCUGUCAUAAAGAUCUCAUGCACAUAUAGACUUUAUAUGCCAUAUACAAAUAUGUUAUAGAUGUAUAAUUUUUUAUCUCAAUUUUUUUGUCAAAACAUAUAUACAAUAUACUUUCUAAACAUCCUGCAUAUAAUGAAAGAGUAACUGAACGUUGUCCAAUAUAUUAUUGAUCUUAGGAAAUUUCACCAGGCAACGAUUCACAUUUGGUUUAUAGAUUAUUAUUUUUCAUGUGCUGAGUUUACUUAUGAACCGCAUGCUCCUUUAAUAUUAUGAAACACAUAAAUACAUGGGAAUCAUAUUUUUGUAAACUCUUUGCAGAAAUAUUAUUCCUUUUUGUUAUAACGCCGCAGGCUAUUACAUCUCCCCGAUAGUAAUAUUUGAAACAGGUGUCACAAAAAAGAAUUCAAAUGUGUAUCAUAAAAUAAAAUAGCUCUAUUAUUGCACAAAAAUAUAGUUUAUCACAUAUUUAUUUCAAUAUGAAACGCAUAUGAAUUAGCUAGGCCGUGUGGAUGCACGGGUUGAUGACUAGUGACAAUUAAUGCACAUACUCAUAAAUGUAGAAACGUCAGCUUCUUUAGAUGUGAAAACCAGUCGAAAGCUCAUUCGUACAUUUUAGAUGUCAUGUUUACGGUUGAUAUCUUGUCAUGUUUAUAAUCUGGGAUAUCCUUCUUAGCAAUAUGCAACCAGAAAUAGGAUAUAUAUGCCAUAAAAUAUUUAGACCUGGCUAACAGCUAAUUCAAAGCACAGGAAUUUGUUCAAAAAUUCAAAACAAAUAUUCGCGCCAAAAAAACUGUACAGAAAUUUUUAAAAAAAUAUUGUGUAUUUCAAAAGUCCUGAUACUGUCAAAAUAUAAACAUUUUUAAAAAAGAGCGAACAAAAUUUUGGAUACGGACAUCUUUUUAAAAACACUUUGUGUAUUUUCUAGAGCAUUCUGUGUAUUUGUGUAAAAUGUUUAUAAAAACAUGAACAAUUUUGAAAUUCCGAACAACACUUGAAAGCGCGAACAUUAUUUCAAACUCCUUAAACAGUUUUUUAGUUUCUAAACAAGCCAUAAAAAGGGAACAUUUUUUGAAUUUGUGAACCAAAUUUGUAAAUAGAGCAUUUUUUAGGGGAAACGACAUUUCUUAAAUUAAUGAACUUUUCUCGAAUUAGCAAGUGUUUGGCCCGGCCCAACAGGCACCCGACGGGAGCGAUGCCGUCGUCUAGUUGGGCCAAGGCCUAAGCUUUUUUCUUUUUUUCUUUUUCCUGCUUUUUUUGUUAAUUCAUUCUUCUCCUUUUUGAACUUCAUUAUUCAUUAUAUGAAACCUGUUGAAAAAUUCAAAUACUAUUUGGAAUAGGAAAAUAACAGUUUUAAGUAACUUAAAAACUAAUAAAAAAAGAAAAAGGCAAACAAAACCGAAGAAGUAAAGAAAAAAAGGCUGAUGAAAAUUUAGAACAAACAAAGAAUGUAACGACCCGACCCGAAAUUGGUCAAGUCUGUGUGUAUCCGUACCAUCCCAAGAUCAUGCUGGCAUACACAGUACAAAAAUUCAAAGUUCAAUCACACAUGAAUUUAUUACACGAUUCUCAUAUCGAGUCUUUAUUACAUCAUAAUAAAUUCGGCCGAAGGCUAACUCAUGAGAAAUAAACCAAAAAUAAAGCUGCGGAAGCGUAGACGAUAAGUGAGUCCAUCAACUCCAUAGGGCAAUCGCCAAGUGUGGAUCGUAGCCUCACUCCUGGUCGGAAAACUCCUCUGCAACAUAAGACGUUGCAGCUGUGUAGGUCAACAUUUUGAAUAUGCCGGCAAGUCAUGAAGAGAGAACAACAAACAUUGCUAACACUAUAUGCAAUUUGGCUGUGGGGCUCUAAGUUUUAUGUUUUUGCGAAAAAGCCAAUUUUUUCCUACAACAAAAGGACUUGCCUGCAAUUACUACAAAAUAUUGGUUGUUAUUGAGAUGGUUCCGCCAACCAGUGUCUCAUUCCCAAAAUUGUUAAUAACCCAUCAAUUAAUUUAUUUUGUUCGGUGUUGAGGUUUCCGAAUAACUCUAAUUCCAGGGGCUCAAUUGUCCAUAUCCGGGGACACGGCUAAUCGGUUAGAUUUCUACUCUGCAGAGUCUUGUGCACUUUACCCGCAAGAAUCGUUCCCUCCUUUAUGUCCUCGCACUACCUGGUGUUUGAAGACGAAACAAACGAAAUAGGGUCUUCCGUAGAGUUUCUCUGGGCACUCACUAGUAGAAAACAUGGCUUUGGUUCAGGCCGGACCAGCCCAUUAAUCCUAGUUCAGUCACGAACCGGGACCCAUGGGGGCAUAGGUCCCGGUUCGUGAGUCCAGGGGGCCGGCCGGGCCUCGUGUGGCAUUGGUCCCGGUUCAUCUGGCCCCUUUGGUACCGGUUGCAGCCACGAACCGGGACCAAUGGUUGUGGGCCCCAUUGGUCCCGGUUCGUGGCUGCAACUGGGACAAAAGGGUGUCCUUUAGUCCCGGUUCCAGCCACGAACCGGGACCAAUGAGAUGCCUAUAUAUACCCCCUCGCCCGCGAGCAGAGCACUCCACUGCUCUGUUUUUCUGGCCGGCCGUUGGAGAGCUUUGUGGUGCUCUAGCUCACCUCCUAUACACAUGAGGUGUUCGAUGAAAUGUCCGAGCCACACUUAAGCUUUCUCCUCUCGAACCUCCUUGUCCGAGCUCCAUUUUCCUCCAGAUUUGUCUAGGUUUGGCGGUCCGUCCUGUCCCGUCCCCGUCCUAACCGCCGUCGAUCGCCCGUGCCGAUCUCGUCGCCGCCACCACCGUGGUGAGCCUCUUGAUCUUAUCUUCUUUCUAAAAGAAAAAAGUUCUUACUUGUAUGAUUUUGAUAGAUACUUGUGUAGUUUUCUUACUUAUUAUUAUUUAUUAUUAUAUAGUGCGAUGGUUUUGGUAUCCGCCUCCGUCGGCCCUCGUCCUGUCUAUGAUUCGGAUGUGGUAUAUAUAUUAUCUUUUAUAAUUAUUAGUUUUAUUUAGUGUUUAUGACAAUUAUGCCGAGCAUCAUGACAUAGAUUUUUUUAUCUAGAAGGUAUGUGAACCGGAAAUUCCAACCGACCCUAUUAUCGAGAGGUUAAAUUUAGUUGAAGAAGAAAACAAUUACUUGAAGGAAAAAUUGAAAAAAAUUGAGUUGGAAAAGAUGACAUUGGAGUUGCAUGCUGCGGAUGUCGUCGAUGAUCACAAGAUCAAGAUGGAUGCUAUGCGCUUUAAGAUUAGAAAGACUAGAUUAUACCCCGCGCGUUGCUGCGGGAAAUAUUGCCUAAAGUUGAUGUUUUACUCAUCAACUAACUCUCCUAAAAGGACAAAACGAUGAAUAAAUGAUUCUUAUUUGAACAUACUUUAGAAUGACAGAUAGGUAAGUAAGAUCAAACCUCCAAGUUAUAUCAUUCAAAGGUUGGACAAUAGACGAACAAUCCGAAGGAGAAUGGUUAAAGCUUUUCAAUAUAUGCUACCAUCUCGGCAUCUCCACUAUCUCUGCAAGUGGAAUAAACUAUCAAGCUGCAGCUAAAACUUGAACAUCUAGCUACAACCCCAAGUCCUUAUUGUGCGCAAUCUGCAUCCUAACACCCAUGUAAAUUUACUUUAAUCAAUCCCACAACAGGAGAUAAACAAAUGUCGUACAAAUGUCAUUAGUCCCGAUAGAACCUUACGGCUUUGAUCUUUUAAAUAUACAUAUAUAGUGUCUAGUUGUACCUGCAUCAGAAAGCUCCCUCUUCUGACUAAUUCUAUGCAUUGGAUAACAAAACUCUACAGAAAGAAAAUAAAAAACUGCCAUUAUGCAACUUGUUCUUAACAAUCACUCACUUCGAGUGCCAAAAAUAGCUCAAUUACAUAGAUUAAAUGCACUAGUAGGAUGCAGUCACGCAUGCCCACUGAACCCGUUGCUUUCACACAAAGUCUGAAAUUCACAAUUUGUUGAUUCUUCAUAGAGGAUUAACAGAGAGAGAGAGUUAACACAGAGAGUAGAGAGAGAAACAUAUUGAGAGAGAGACGGAACUAACACAGAGAAAUUCUCCAGUCCACUGCCGCCUAGCUCCUGGUGGUGGCCUCACUUUUGUGCACCUGCAAUCAAAGGAGAAGGAAUAGUACAGUGCCCUUGGAAUCAACUAGGAGAGAGGAUUAGCACCAGCACAACCGGCCGGUGCUUGCACGCACACCCGGACGACACACAACACACACGCAUGCUAGCUCACCCGUCCAGCGAACAACACACACACCAAAAAAAAACUCAUUACUGCUGCAAGGAUUGUUGAGAUGAUCCAAACAGGCAUACAUGUCAAUUACAGAAACCACAUAUUGGAAUUUAAAGCGAGCAUAUCCAAAUACUGUUGGAAGGAUUGUUGAGAUGACAACCCAAACAGGCAUACUUGUCGUCAAUUACAGAAAUCAACUACUGGAAUGGACAUAUGCAGAACUUCAGCUUGGAUAAGA